Molecule: unclassified non-coding RNA, 222 nt
Filed under: Hevea brasiliensis (rubber tree)
Lineage: Eukaryota; Viridiplantae; Streptophyta; Magnoliopsida; Malpighiales; Euphorbiaceae
Source: RNAcentral
UUUGACUUUUGACAGAAUUAUUCCUUUCGAUCAAAAACUUUCUCUCUAUUUUCUUCGCUAGCAAAUAUUAACAACCAAGUGGCGCAAACAUUUUGCAUAAAAUUCAGCAUUGUUCUUCUAAAAGCAUAUUUGACCUAUUUGAUCGAUUUAAUAUACUGAUGGAGUGCACAUCAAUCUUAUUGGGACUAAUAGAAUACAAUUAAACCCAACACAACCUGAAUG